Molecule: unclassified non-coding RNA, 329 nt
Filed under: soil metagenome
Description: partial contains 5.8S ribosomal RNA, internal transcribed spacer 2, and large subunit ribosomal RNA
Rfam family: 5.8S ribosomal RNA (bases 1-120)
Source: RNAcentral
GAUGAAGAACGCAGCGAAAUGCGAUAAUUAAUGUGAAUUGCAGAAUUUAGUGAAUCAUCGAAUCUUUGAACGCACAUUGCGCCCCUUGGUAUUCCGGGGGGCAUGCCUGUUCGAGCGUCAUUUCAACCCUCAAGCUCAGCUUGGUGUUGGGCCCCGCCGCCCCGGCGGGCCCUAAAGUCAGUGGCGGUGCCGUCCGGCUCCGAGCGUAGUAAUUCUUCUCGCUCUGGAGGUCCGGUCGUGUGCUCGCCAGCAACCCCCAAUUUUUUUCAGGUUGACCUCGGAUCAGGUAGGGAUACCCGCUGAACUUAAGCAUAUCAAUAAGCGGAGGA